GCAUAUCAAUAAGCGGAGGAAAAGAAACCAACAGGGAUUGCCCCAGUAACGGCGAGUGAAGCGGCAAAAGCUCAAAUUUGAAAUCUGGCCUCCUACGGGGGUCCGAGUUGUAAUUUGUAGAGGAUGCUUCGGGUGUGGCCGCCGUCUAAGUUCCUUGGAACAGGACGUCAGAGAGGGUGAGAAUCCCGUCUUGGGCGGCCGGUCCGCGCCCGUGUGAAGCUCCUUCGAAGAGUCGAGUUGUUUGGGAAUGCAGCUCUAAGCGGGUGGUAAAUUUCAUCUAAAGCUAAAUACUGGUCGGAGACCGAUAGCGCACAAGUAGAGUGAUCGAAAGGUUAAAAGCACCUUGAAAAGGGAGUUAAACAGCACGUGAAAUUGUUGAAAGGGAAGCGCUUGCGGCCAGACUCGGGGGCGGGGUUCAGCGGGUGCUCGUCGCCCGUGCACUCCCCGUCUCCCGGGCCAGCAUCAGUUUCGACGGCCGGUCAAAGGCCUCCGGAAUGUGUCGUCUCUCGGGACGUCUUAUAGCCGGGGGUGCAAUGCGGCCCGUCGGGACUGAGGAACGCGCUUCGGCUCGGAUGCUGGCGUAAUGGCCGUAAGCGGCCCGUCUUGAAACACGGACCAAGGAGUCUAACAUCCACGCGAGUGUUCGGGUGUCAAACCCGUGCGCGCAGUGAAAGCGAACGGAGGUGGGAGCCUUAGGGCGCACCAUCGACCGAUCCUGAAGUCUUCGGAUGGAUUUGAGUAGGAGCGUGGCCGUUGGGACCCGMAAGAYGGUGAACUAUGCCUGAAUAGGGUGAAGCCAGAGGAAACUCUGGUGGAGGCUCGCAGCGGYUCUGACGUGCAAAUCGAUCGUCAMAUUUGGGCAUAGGGGCGMAAGMCUAAUCGAACCAUCUAGUAGCUGGUUCCUGC
This 906-nucleotide ribosomal RNA is filed under the name Nannizzia gypsea. RNAcentral's name for it is "LSU rRNA". It matches the Rfam family "Eukaryotic large subunit ribosomal RNA", at positions 38 to 961 of the family's 3401-position model. The record is from RNAcentral. Lineage: Eukaryota; Fungi; Ascomycota; Eurotiomycetes; Onygenales; Arthrodermataceae.